Molecule: ribosomal RNA, 1131 nt
Filed under: Gibbsiella quercinecans
Lineage: Bacteria; Pseudomonadati; Pseudomonadota; Gammaproteobacteria; Enterobacterales; Yersiniaceae
Description: partial 23S ribosomal RNA
Rfam family: Bacterial large subunit ribosomal RNA
Source: RNAcentral
AUUGUGAGUUCGAUGAGUAGGGCGGGACACGUGUUAUCCUGUCUGAAUAUGGGGGGACCAUCCUCCAAGGCUAAAUACUCCUGACUGACCGAUAGUGAACCAGUACCGUGAGGGAAAGGCGAAAAGAACCCCGGCGAGGGGAGUGAAAUAGAACCUGAAACCGUGUACGUACAAGCAGUGGGAGCCUUGAUUUAUCAGGGUGACUGCGUACCUUUUGUAUAAUGGGUCAGCGACUUAUAUUUUGUAGCAAGGUUAACCGCAUAGGGGAGCCGUAGGGAAACCGAGUCUUAACUGGGCGUCAAGUUGCAAGGUAUAGACCCGAAACCCGGUGAUCUAGCCAUGGGCAGGUUGAAGGUUGGGUAACACUAACUGGAGGACCGAACCGACUAAUGUUGAAAAAUUAGCGGAUGACUUGUGGCUGGGGGUGAAAGGCCAAUCAAACCGGGAGAUAGCUGGUUCUCCCCGAAAGCUAUUUAGGUAGCGCCUCGUGAACUCAUCUUCGGGGGUAGAGCACUGUUUCGGCUAGGGGGCCACCCCGGCUUACCAAACCGAUGCAAACUGCGAAUACCGAAGAAUGUUAUCACGGGAGACACACGGCGGGUGCUAACGUCCGUCGUGAAGAGGGAAACAACCCAGACCGCCAGCUAAGGUCCCAAAGUCAUGGUUAAGUGGGAAACGAUGUGGGAAGGCAUAGACAGCCAGGAUGUUGGCUUAGAAGCAGCCAUCAUUUAAAGAAAGCGUAAUAGCUCACUGGUCGAGUCGGCCUGCGCGGAAGAUGUAACGGGGCUAAACCAUGCACCGAAGCUGCGGCAGCGACGCUUAGGCGUUGUUGGGUAGGGGAGCGUUCUGUAAGCCGUUGAAGGUGGCCUGUGAGGGUUGCUGGAGGUAUCAGAAGUGCGAAUGCUGACAUAAGUAACGAUAAUGCGGGUGAAAAACCCGCACGCCGGAAGACCAAGGGUUCCUGUCCAACGUUAAUCGGGGCAGGGUGAGUCGACUCCUAAGGCGAGGCUGAAAAGCGUAGUCGAUGGGAAACAGGUUAAUAUUCCUGUACUUGGUGUUACUGCGAAGGGGGGACGGAGAAGGCUAGGCUGGCCGGGCGACGGUUGUCCCGGUUUAAGCGUGUAGGGGUGU